GACGAACGCUGGCGGCGUGCUUAACACAUGCAAGUCGAACGGAAAGGCCCUGCUUUUGUGGGGUGCUCGAGUGGCGAACGGGUGAGUAACACGUGAGUAACCUGCCCUUGACUUUGGGAUAACUUCAGGAAACUGGGGCUAUUACCGGAUAGGAGCUCCUGCUGCAUGGUGGGGGUUGGAAAGUUUCGGCGGUUGGGGAUGGACUCGCGGCUUAUCAGCUUGUUGGUGAGGUAGUGGCUUACCAAGGUUUUGACGGGUAGCCGGCCUGAGAGGGUGACCGGCCACAUUGGGACUGAGGUACGGCCCAGACUGCUACGGGAGGCAGCAGUGGGGAAUAUGGCAGAAUGGGCGGAAGCCUGAUGCAGCAACGCCGCGUGCGGGAUGACGGCCUUCGGGUUGUAAACCGCUUUCGCCUGUGACGAAGCGUGAGUGACGGUAAUGGGUAAAGAAGCACCGGCUAACUACGUG
RNAcentral lists this ribosomal RNA (468 nucleotides) under uncultured bacterium. RNAcentral's name for it is "partial 16S ribosomal RNA". It matches the Rfam family "Bacterial small subunit ribosomal RNA", at positions 28 to 507 of the family's 1533-position model. The record is from RNAcentral.